Non-coding RNA from Podospora aff. communis PSN243, 113 nucleotides. NCBI's taxonomy places the organism in Eukaryota, Fungi, Ascomycota, Sordariomycetes, Sordariales, Podosporaceae. The record is from the annotation of a GenBank genome assembly.
GGUCCGCUGGCUAAAUGGCAGAGCGUCUGACUACGAUCCUGAGUCUCGACUAGUCCGAGUCUUGACAAAAGAAGUUAUCAGGAGGUUCCAGGUUCGACACCCUGGGUGGAUCG